UACGUAGGGUGCAAGCGUUAAUCGGAAUUACUGGGCGUAAAGCGUGCGCAGGCGGUUUUGUAAGUCUGUCGUGAAAUCCCCGGGCUCAACCUGGGAAUGGCGAUGAAGACUGCAAGGCUUGAAUCUGGCAGAGGGGGGUAGAAUUCCACGUGUAGCAGUGAAAUGCGUAGAGAUGUGGAGGAACACCGAUGGCGAAGGCAGCCCCCUGGGUCAAGAUUGACGCUCAUGCACGAAAGCGUGGGGAGCAAACAGG
This 253-nucleotide ribosomal RNA is filed under the name uncultured bacterium. Its description in RNAcentral is "partial 16S ribosomal RNA". It matches the Rfam family "Bacterial small subunit ribosomal RNA", at positions 524 to 776 of the family's 1533-position model. The record is from RNAcentral.